RNAcentral lists this small RNA (131 nucleotides) under Gopherus agassizii (Agassiz's desert tortoise). RNAcentral describes it as "TUC338 (ENSGAGG00000021983.1)". Lineage: Eukaryota; Metazoa; Chordata; Testudines; Testudinidae. The record is from RNAcentral.
CUAACAGCUCAGGAGACUGAAGCCCUUACAUUUUCUCUCACAUUGCCCCUCACCGUAACUGAGCCCUGACCUAGCAGGGCCACUCUAGGGGCAAGAGGGUCAUUCAUUCUCCGUGCUCACUCAUGGCCUCU